Molecule: transfer RNA, 71 nt
Filed under: Camelus bactrianus (Bactrian camel)
Lineage: Eukaryota; Metazoa; Chordata; Mammalia; Artiodactyla; Camelidae
Also listed under: 3 other names
Rfam family: tRNA
About the family: Transfer RNA (tRNA) molecules are approximately 80 nucleotides in length. Their secondary structure includes four short double-helical elements and three loops (D, anti-codon, and T loops).
Source: Rfam by way of RNAcentral
GAGGAUAUAGCUCGGUGUAGAGUGCCUGCUUAGCAUGCAUGAGGUCCUGGAUUCAAUCCCCAGUACCUCCA